Molecule: transfer RNA, 75 nt
Filed under: Planctomycetota bacterium
Lineage: Bacteria; Pseudomonadati; Planctomycetota
Description: Planctomycetes bacterium (activated sludge metagenome) tRNA-Val
Rfam family: tRNA
About the family: Transfer RNA (tRNA) molecules are approximately 80 nucleotides in length. Their secondary structure includes four short double-helical elements and three loops (D, anti-codon, and T loops).
Source: RNAcentral
CCUCGACUAGAUCAGUGGCAGAUCAUCCGCAUGACAGGCGGAAGGCCGGUGGUUCGAUCCCACCGUCGAGGACCA